RNAcentral lists this ribosomal RNA (185 nucleotides) under uncultured bacterium. Its description in RNAcentral is "partial 16S ribosomal RNA". It matches the Rfam family "Bacterial small subunit ribosomal RNA", at positions 1316 to 1500 of the family's 1533-position model. The record is from RNAcentral.
CUACACGAAGCUGGAAUCGCUAGUAAUCGCGGAUCAGAAUGCCGCGGUGAAUACGUUCCCGGGUCUUGUACACACCGCCCGUCACACCAUGGGAGUCAGUAACGCCCGAAGUCAGUGACCUAACCGAAAGGGAGGAGCUGCCGAAGGCGGGACGGAUGACUGGGGUGAAGUCGUAACAAGGUAUC